RNAcentral lists this ribosomal RNA (110 nucleotides) under Amphichthys cryptocentrus (Bocon toadfish). Lineage: Eukaryota; Metazoa; Chordata; Actinopteri; Batrachoidiformes; Batrachoididae. The record is from RNAcentral.
ACUUACGGCCAUACCACUCUGAAUACGCCUGAUCUUGGAAGCUAAACACAGUCUGCUCUGGUUAGUACUUGGAUGGGAGANNGCCUGGGAAUACCAGGUGCUGUAAGCCU